RNAcentral lists this small RNA (28 nucleotides) under Bombyx mori (domestic silkworm). RNAcentral describes it as "ovarian small RNA-13742". Lineage: Eukaryota; Metazoa; Arthropoda; Insecta; Lepidoptera; Bombycidae. The record is from RNAcentral.
CCCUGAUAGACUAAGAACAGUACAAUGC